RNAcentral lists this transfer RNA (73 nucleotides) under Ramazzottius varieornatus. Its description in RNAcentral is "tRNA-Tyr". It matches the Rfam family "tRNA". From Rfam's summary of the family: Transfer RNA (tRNA) molecules are approximately 80 nucleotides in length. Their secondary structure includes four short double-helical elements and three loops (D, anti-codon, and T loops). Lineage: Eukaryota; Metazoa; Tardigrada; Eutardigrada; Parachela; Ramazzottiidae. The record is from RNAcentral.
CCGACGAUAGCUCAGUUGGUAGAGCGGGUGACUGUAGAUCACCAGGUCCUGAGUUCAAUUCUCAGUCGUCGGA